CCUACGGGGGACAGCAGUCGAGAAUCAUUCACAAUGGGGGAAACCCUGAUGGUGCGACGCCGCGUGGGGGAAUGAAGGUCUUCGGAUUGUAAACCCCUGUCAUGUGGGAGCAAAUUAAAAAGAUAGUACCACAAGAGGAAGAGACGGCUAACUCUGUGCCAGCAGCCGCGGUAAUACAGAGGUCUCAAGCGUUGUUCGGAAUCACUGGGCGUAAAGGGUGCGUAGGCUGUUUCGUAAGUCGUGUGUGAAAGGCGCGGGCUCAACCCGCGGACGGCACAUGAUACUGCGAGACUAGAGUAAUGGAGGGGGAACCGGAAUGCUCGGUGUAGCAGUGAAAUGCGUAGAUAUCGAGAGGAACACUCGUGGCGAAGGCAGGUUCCUGGACAUUAACUGACGCUGAGGCACGAAGGCCAGGGGAGCGAAAGGGAUUAGAUACCCGGGUAGUC
RNAcentral lists this ribosomal RNA (446 nucleotides) under uncultured bacterium. RNAcentral's name for it is "partial 16S ribosomal RNA". It matches the Rfam family "Bacterial small subunit ribosomal RNA", at positions 338 to 795 of the family's 1533-position model. The record is from RNAcentral.